GCCCCCUCCCUCAGUAGGGAAGGUUUGGGGGCGUUCGGAGGGCUCCGUGCUGAUGACUCAGAGCCUGGAGGCUGCUUUGGAUUCUGUGUCUCCCUCUUUCUCUGACACUCCCAUGCUCACGCUCUCUCUCUCUCUUUCUUUCAAAAAUAACCAUUAAAAAAAUGACUAUACAAUGAAAUAAUACAUGGCCAUUGAAAAGAGCGAGGUAAACCAAUCCAGUUAAUGUUAGAAACUUCUAAAACAUACUGUUAAGAAAAGGAAGAUGCAGAUCAGUUUAUGUAAUAUCUUAUUUUGUAAAAAAAAAAAAAAAACAAAAAACCCUCAAAAAUUUCUAUAUCUGUAUGUAAAUAUACUUAUUUAUAAAUGUAUAAAAAUGUAAACAUUUAUUUUUAUUGUAUUAUAUUAAUAUAUUAUGAAUAUAUAUAUAAACUUUUAAAAGGAUAUGUGCUAGUUUGUCAAAUGUGUUUGGGGGUGGGGAGUAGAGGAGAGGAGGCUAGUUAAACAAAAAGAGGUCUUUAUUUAAAAACCGUAUAUGUGACUUAUUAUUCCAUUCAGGUAAAAUCAUACAAAUACGAGUAUGUGCUUAUGACAGAUGAAAGAGGGACAGUCACCAGUAUGCUAAUGAUCAUCAUCUCUGGAAUGUGGGAUUUCAGUCCUCAAUCGGUGCCUCCAAACCAAAAUGUUCACCUAUAUCUCAGUCAAGAUGGAACUCUGCCUUAAUAAAUUAAUGAUUACUCAAGAAUAGAGGACAUGUUUUACUUUUCAAAAAAAAAAAUCUUCUAGUGAAUGAAAUGUAAUCUAUACCAAUUUUAGCCAAAUCACCAGGAUUUUCAGCAGAUCUAUACUUCUGUGGCCCUUAGAUAACGGCCAAUAGAUAUGUUAUGCAAGAGACUCAUCUUGUUGAUGAUCUCAUCACUGUGUCUGUGACUUUCAAACCAGAGAUUCUGCUGUGGGACUCCUCUCUCGACAAGGUUCCAAGGACAAUAGCAAAUCUACCACAAUAUAACCACAGAAUCAUGAAAUCUUUGCAUUGGAAAGACCUCUACCUAAAUAGAAAUUAUUACUUCAUUCUUUGGACUUUAAUGUACCCCAUGUAGCUUUCUCUUAUGGUUAUUAAAAGGAUAAUAUGCCUACUUAUAUUGGUCUACAGAUUCCUUAAGACCAGAAAUUAUUCUUUACUCCUCUUUGUCUCCCUAAUGCUUAAAAUAGGGCCUAGGGUAGCACGAAUAGCUGAAUUGAUAGAUGGAUAGAAAAAAGAAAAAAAUACUAUAUUGCAAUAAUGGAUAUUUGUUGGACCAUCUCCAGUAUCUACUCCCUCCCUUCCUUUCCAACAGUCCCAAUUUCUGUUUGAAGAUUCAAGUCAUUUCAGAGAGCCUCUUAUUAUCUCCAACUCCAGGAGUAGAAUAUGUAAUCUAGGUUAAACCAAUUAGCACAUUCCAUCCAUCUAACAAGUUUUUGGCUCUGCCUUGAGCACAUGACCUAACUAAAGAUUUUCAUUCAGAGUGAAUCUCAGAAUUAUUUCUGGGAAGGAAGAGACAAAGAUGCCUUUUGCUGGAUGCAAAUGUGGAGGCAUGCAGCCCUGGAGCUGAUGGCAGCCACCUCAGGAGCAUGAGGGCAAGUCUUAGAAUAGAACCAACAUUAAGAAAGGUAUAUAGAAGAGACAGAAAGAAACUGGAAGCCUCAUUUGAACCUAAUCUUAUCUCUGGACUUUUCAGCUACAAAAAAAAAGAAACAAAGAGGAAAGAAAAUUCCCUUAUUUUUCAUGUUAGCUUAGGUCAGAUUUUCUGUUUCUUACAACACAAAGCAUCCUGAUUCAAUUGUAAAUAAUGCCAUUGAACAGAUGUGAGCUGAACAAGCACUAUGUACUUCAGAAAUAUUGGCAAGCCCUAAUGCAAACCAUUCCACAAACAAACCACAAACCAAAAGUGAUGAACACUCCUAAUUUCUAUUUCCCACUGAAAGAAAUCAAGACUUCCUGAAGAAAUAGUUAAUUCCAGGUCUUGUGUAGGAAAGGUACAAGUUGAGACUGGGAUAUCUAGUUAUGUCAAAAGGCAAGAAAGUUCUCAGAAGCUACUAUGCUAAGCCGAUUUGAAAAGGUUCCUAUUCUGGGGAGCCUGGGUGGCGCAGUCGGUUAAGCGUCCGACUUCAGCCAGGUCACGAUCUCGCGGUCCGGGAGUUCCAGCCCCGUGUCAGGCUCUGGGCUGAUGGCUCAGAGCCUGGAGCCUGUUUCCGAUUCUGUGUCUCUCUCUCUCUCUGCCCCUCCCCCGUUCAUGCUCUGUCUCUCUCAGUCCCAAAAAUAAAUAAACGUUGAAAAAAAAAAUUAAAAAAAAA
This 2331-nucleotide long non-coding RNA is filed under the name Felis catus (domestic cat). RNAcentral describes it as "lncRNA (ENSFCAG00000045092.2)". Lineage: Eukaryota; Metazoa; Chordata; Mammalia; Carnivora; Felidae. The record is from RNAcentral.